AACGUAGGAGACGAGCGUUAUCCGGAAUUACUGGGCGUAAAGCGCGAGUAGGCGGCUAUUUAAGUGGUCUGUGAAAGCGUCCGGCUCAACUGGACGAGGCCGGAUCAGACUGGAUGGCUAGAGGGUCAGAGAGGCAGGCGGAAUUCCGGGUGUAGUGGUGAAAUGCGUAGAGAUCCGGAGGAACACCAGUGGCGAAGGCGGCCUGCUGGCUGACAACUGACGCUGAGGCGCGAAAGCAUGGGGAGCGAAC
RNAcentral lists this ribosomal RNA (250 nucleotides) under uncultured bacterium. RNAcentral's name for it is "partial 16S ribosomal RNA". It matches the Rfam family "Bacterial small subunit ribosomal RNA", at positions 524 to 773 of the family's 1533-position model. The record is from RNAcentral.